UGUAGUCAUAUGCUUGUCUCAAAGAUUAAGCCAUGCAUGUCUCGGCAUAAACCUACGUAUGGUGAAGCUGCGAAUGGCUCAUUAGAACAGUUGUGGUUUAUCUGGUACUUGAAAGAUAGAUGGAUAACUGUGGUAAUUCUAGGGCUAAUACAUGCGUAAAAACCGGACUUCGAGGAACGGUUGUACUUAUUAGACAAAGAACUAAUCCGUUUCGGCGGCAUUUAGAUGAAUCAUAAUAAAAGCAUGGAGCGUAUGACUUGUGUCGGCGCUACACCAUUCAAGUUUCUGACCUAUCAGCUUUCGACGGCAGGGUAUUGGCUUACCGUGGCAUUGACGGGUAACGGGGAAUUAGGGUUCGAUUCCGGAGAGGAAGCCCGAGAAACGGCUACCACAUCUAAGGAAGGCAGCAGGCGCGCAAAUUACCCACUCCUGACACAGGGAGGUAGUGACAAGGAAUAGCAAUGCAGGUGGCAAUUGCCAUUGUGCUAUUGGAAUGAGUGGACUUUAAAUCCCUUUUCGACUACCGAUUGAAUGGGU
Molecule: ribosomal RNA, 537 nt
Filed under: uncultured eukaryote
Lineage: Eukaryota
Description: SSU rRNA
Rfam family: Eukaryotic small subunit ribosomal RNA
Source: RNAcentral